AAGUCCAACAGCUUAGCCUGA
This 21-nucleotide microRNA is filed under the name Taeniopygia guttata (zebra finch). RNAcentral's name for it is "tgu-miR-2955-5p". The record is from miRBase by way of RNAcentral. Lineage: Eukaryota; Metazoa; Chordata; Aves; Passeriformes; Estrildidae.